Myodes glareolus (Bank vole) is the source of this 866-nucleotide non-coding RNA. The record is from RefSeq and is a predicted model, not a curated record. Lineage: Eukaryota; Metazoa; Chordata; Mammalia; Rodentia; Cricetidae.
UCUCUCUCUCUCUCCUCACCUUCCCUUCCUGCUUCCCCCUUCUCUUUCCCCUCCAUAACGCACUAAGUACACUCUAUAUUCCAGCUCUCUCUGGGUAUGGGAUGCAAGCUACAGGGCCUCCACUGAGCCAACGGCUCACUCUAUGGGAUGCAGGAUUGGCAUGAAGGAGAAAAUCCAAAGUGAAGAUGACUUGAGCAGAAAGAAAAUAAAGCUGGAUGAGAUGACUGCAUAGACAACACAGGAGGGGCAGCCCCGAUGACAUCAUAGCUGAUAAAGCCCCCAUAGAGGGGUCAGAAGGAAAGGAGUAGGAGAGGUGUUCCUGGUCCAGUCCUCCCCACCCCCACAGAGAGGAGUACCUAGUCUGGGGACCUGGGGCCACCACUCUGUGCUGCAGGGUGCCAUGCUGCUCUGAGGGACAGGCGCUGAGCUGCUUCCCUACACUCGGGACACACACACCCAGAGGCCCUGCUGGGUGCCACGCUGCUCUGAGGGACAGGCGCUGAGCUGCUUCCCUACACUCGGGACACACACACCCAGGGGCCCUGCUGGGUGAUGACUACAGUUUUCUGCAGUCUGAAUUCUGUUUGCUUUGGAGCUGAAAUGCAGGCUGAAUAUUUGACUGUUUUAAUCUCUGGGACACAGAACUCAUUUUCAUUAAAAUAUUGGACUUGAGAACUAAGACCUAAGCUUUCUCCUUAGGGAAAGAAAGACUCAAAAUAAGGAAUGAUAAGACGGGACAGCUGCUCCUCAGAGACUGGAGCUGGUAUUGGAUAACAGCAAUGUCACUGGACUCUCACCCAUUGGAAAAGCUUUCCCUGUCUUUUGAGUAAUGUGAAUUAAAGAAAAUUGUGACAUGUUUAAUUGUA